UGACUGUAUUUAUAUGGGUCUAUUUUUGGCUCCCCAUUCUGUUCUAUUGAUCUAUUUGUUAUUUCAUUUGUCAACCCUCACUAUCU
Mustela erminea (ermine) is the source of this 86-nucleotide long non-coding RNA. RefSeq lists it as uncharacterized. NCBI's taxonomy places the organism in Eukaryota, Metazoa, Chordata, Mammalia, Carnivora, Mustelidae. The transcript is spliced from 3 exons. The record is from RefSeq and is a predicted model, not a curated record.